RNAcentral lists this ribosomal RNA (462 nucleotides) under uncultured bacterium. Its description in RNAcentral is "partial 16S ribosomal RNA". It matches the Rfam family "Bacterial small subunit ribosomal RNA", at positions 338 to 795 of the family's 1533-position model. The record is from RNAcentral.
CCUACGGGUGACAGCAGUGAGGAAUAUUUGUCAAUGGACGCAAGUCUGAACCAGCCAAGUAGCGUGCAGGAUGACAGCCCUCCGGGUUGUAAACUGCUGUUAGUUGGGAAUAAAAGGGGGCUCGUGAGCCCCGUAUUGUAUGUACCGUCAGAAAUAUGACCGGCUAAUUCCGUGCCAGCAGCCGCGGUAAUACGGAGGGUCCGGCCGGUAGUCGGACUUAUUGGGUUUAAAGGGAGCGUAGUCCGGCUUUUAAGUCAGCUGUGAAAGUCCGCGGCUCAACCGUGGAAUGGCAGAUGAAACUGGAGGACUUGAGUGCACACAGGGAUGCCGGAAUUCAUGGUGUAGCGGUGAAAUGCUUAGAUAUCAUGAAGAACACCGAUCGCGAAGGCAAGUGCCCGGGGUGCAACUGACGCUGAGGCUCGAAAGUGCGGGUAUCAAACAGGAUUAGAUACCCGGGUAGUC